Molecule: ribosomal RNA, 487 nt
Filed under: uncultured bacterium
Lineage: Bacteria
Description: bacterial SSU rRNA
Rfam family: Bacterial small subunit ribosomal RNA
Source: RNAcentral
UAGUCCACACCGUAAACGCUGUCUACUAGCUGUGUGUGUCUUUAAGACGUGCGUAGCGAAGCUAACGCGCUAAGUAGACCGCCUGGGAAGUACAGUCGCAAGACUAAAACUCAAAGGAAUUGACGGGGGCCCGCACAAGCGGUGGAUUAUGUGGUUUAAUUCGAAGCAACGCGCAGAACCUUACCUAGACUUGAAAUCCUACGAACCUGGUGUAAUGACCGGGGUGCUCGCAAGAGAAUGUAGAGACAGGUGCUGCAUGGCUGUCGUCAGCUCGUGUUGUGAAAUGUUGGGUUAAGUCUCGCAACGAGCGCAACCCCUAUCCUUAGUUGCCAGCAUUUAGUUGGGCACUCUAGGGAGACUGCCUGGGCAACCAGGAGGAAGGUGGGGAUGACGUCAAGUCCUCAUGGGCCCUUAUGUCUAGGGGCUACACACGUAAUACAAUGGGUACAUACAAAGGGAAGCGACCCAGCGAUGGGUGAGCAAAUCU